RNAcentral lists this ribosomal RNA (253 nucleotides) under uncultured bacterium. RNAcentral's name for it is "partial 16S ribosomal RNA". It matches the Rfam family "Bacterial small subunit ribosomal RNA", at positions 524 to 776 of the family's 1533-position model. The record is from RNAcentral.
GACGAAGGGGGCUAGCGUUGUUCGGAAUUACUGGGCGUAAAGCGAGUGUAGGUGGUUGUCGUAGUCAGGCGUGAAAGCCUUGAGCUCAACUCAAGAAAUGCGCUUGAUACUGGGCAGCUAGAGGACCGGAGAGGAUAGUGGAAUUUCCGGUGUAGCGGUGAAAUGCGUAGAUAUCGUAAGGAACGCCAGUGGCGAAAGCGAAUCUCUGGGCAGCAACUGACGCUGAGGCACGAAGGCCAGGGGAGCAAACGGG